Molecule: long non-coding RNA, 651 nt
Filed under: Fukomys damarensis (Damara mole-rat)
Lineage: Eukaryota; Metazoa; Chordata; Mammalia; Rodentia; Bathyergidae
Description: lncRNA (ENSFDAG00000025901.1)
Source: RNAcentral
AUCUGUAGGAAGAUUCUUGGGGUGUUAACUUUCCAUUGGUGGUUUCAUUUAUCAAUUUUUAAAAUCAUUUUUAUAGUGUUCUACUGAGUUCUGUCCACUUUUCUCAAGUCCUUCUGUUGUAGAACUAGAUUCAGGCUUCUCUGGGUCAAGGAAGUGGGGCAAGUAGCACAAAAUUUCUUUACCAACACUUCUAUUACAGAUAUGGCUGUGCCUGCGGAAUGGCGGCUCAUCCUGGGGACACAGCCCGACCCUUCUUUCCAGCUUCCUCUCUUCUCAUUUUCAUCAUGAGGGAUUGUGAAUGAAUGAACAUGGAGAAAAGUGAGAAACAAGAGAGCCCAUUUACGAGCAUGCUGUGUGUGUACCCUGAAUUUCCAAAUCGACUCUGAGUUCCUCCAGGACUCGAUGUGCUGCUUUCACCCUUUGAUGCCCAUGGGGCUGCACAAGUGUCCUUUGUACAGUAGGCUUGAAAGGAUGGCGAGAGUCAAGAGGACCCAGGGCGAGUGGGUGAGAGCAGAGAGGAGUGGCAGAAGUGGAUUUAAUGAGAGGAAAAGGAGAAGCUGUUAUUGCAAGACGGGUGGCUGGAGCUUUUUCCUACCCCCAAAAGUCUCUCUUUCUGCAAGGUUUCUUCUACUAGCAACUAUGAAGAAGAAG